Juglans microcarpa x Juglans regia is the source of this 224-nucleotide long non-coding RNA. RefSeq lists it as uncharacterized. The transcript is spliced from 2 exons. The record is from RefSeq and is a predicted model, not a curated record. NCBI's taxonomy places the organism in Eukaryota, Viridiplantae, Streptophyta, Magnoliopsida, Fagales, Juglandaceae.
GCGGCAAGAAGUCCGAACAAGUUCCCAUACACAUCGUACUGAUUGUCAUUGACCAGAAACAAAAGCAGACAUUGUUAGAAUCAACAUUGUUGAUCUUUCCGAAUGAUACAUUACGAAGGUUUAAUGGAAUCUCUAGGGAUGGCAAACUCGCACCCAUUGUAAUAGUUUUCAUCAAUUAUAAAAGCCAAAAAAAGGGUAUUUGAAGAAGUGGUUUAUGUCAAUUG